This 526-nucleotide ribosomal RNA is filed under the name uncultured bacterium. RNAcentral describes it as "bacterial SSU rRNA". It matches the Rfam family "Bacterial small subunit ribosomal RNA", at positions 984 to 1509 of the family's 1533-position model. The record is from RNAcentral.
ACAUCCAGAGAACUUAGCAGAGAUGCUUUGGUGCCUUCGGGAACUCUGAGACAGGUGCUGCAUGGCUGUCGUCAGCUCGUGUUGUGAAAUGUUGGGUUAAGUCCCGCAACGAGCGCAACCCUUAUCCUUUGUUGCCAGCGGUUCGGCCGGGAACUCAAAGGAGACUGCCGGUGAUAAACCGGAGGAAGGUGGGGAUGACGUCAAGUCAUCAUGGCCCUUACGGCCAGGGCUACACACGUGCUACAAUGGCGCAUACAAAGAGAAGCGACCUCGCGAGAGCAAGCGGACCUCAUAAAGUGCGUCGUAGUCCGGAUUGGAGUCUGCAACUCGACUCCAUGAAGUCGGAAUCGCUAGUAAUCGUAGAUCAGAAUGCUACGGUCGAAUACGUUCCCGGGCCUUGUACACACCGCCCGUCACACCAUGGGAGUGGGUUGCAAAAGAAGUAGGUAGCUUAACCUUCGGGAGGGCGCUUACCACUUUGUGAUUCAUGACUGGGGUGAAGUCGUAACAAGGUAAGCGUAGCGAG